RNAcentral lists this transfer RNA (68 nucleotides) under Sphaerodactylus townsendi. RNAcentral describes it as "tRNA-Ala". Lineage: Eukaryota; Metazoa; Chordata; Lepidosauria; Squamata; Sphaerodactylidae. The record is from RNAcentral.
UUGUGGCUCAGUGGAAGGUCAUUUGCUUGGCAUGCAGAUGGUCCCAGGUUCCGCCCCUGGCAUGUAAU